RNAcentral lists this ribosomal RNA (301 nucleotides) under uncultured bacterium. Its description in RNAcentral is "partial 16S ribosomal RNA". It matches the Rfam family "Bacterial small subunit ribosomal RNA", at positions 509 to 808 of the family's 1533-position model. The record is from RNAcentral.
CAGUAGCCACGGUAAACAGAGGGUGCGAGCGUUAAUCGGAUUUACUGGGCGUAAAGCGUGCGUAGGCGGCUUUUUAAGUCGGAUGUGAAAUCCCUGAGCUUAACUUAGGAAUUGCAUUCGAUACUGGGAAGCUAGAGUAUGGGAGAGGAUGGUAGAAUUCCAGGUGUAGCGGUGAAAUGCGUAGAGAUCUGGAGGAAUACCGAUGGCGAAGGCAGCCAUCUGGCCUAAUACUGACGCUGAGGUACGAAAGCAUGGGGAGCAAACAGGAUUAGAUACCCCUGUAGUCCCUGUCUCUUAUACA